Molecule: ribosomal RNA, 468 nt
Filed under: uncultured bacterium
Lineage: Bacteria
Description: partial 16S ribosomal RNA
Rfam family: Bacterial small subunit ribosomal RNA
Source: RNAcentral
GACGAACGCUGGCGGCGGGCUUAACACAUGCAAGUCGAACGGAAAGGCCCUGCUUUUGUGGGGUGCUCGAGUGGCGAACGGGUGAGUAACACGUGAGUAACCUGCCCUUGACUUUGGGAUAACUUCAGGAAACUGGGGCUAAUACCGGAUAGGAGCUCCUGCUGCAUGGUGGGGGUUGGAAAGUUUCGGCGGUUGGGGAUGGACUCGCGGCUUAUCAGCUUGUGGGUGGGGUAGUGGCUUACCAAGGCUUUGACGGGUAGCCGGCCUGAGAGGGUGACCGGCCACAUUGGGACUGAGAUACGGACCAGACUCCUACGGGAGGCAGCAGUGGGGAAUAUUGCACAAUGGGCGGAAGCCUGAUGCAGAAACGCCGCGUGCGGGAUGACGGCCUUCGGGUUGUAAACCGCUUUCGCCUGUGACGAAGCGUGAGUGACGGUAAUGGGUAAAGAAGCACCGGCUAACUACGUG